Molecule: long non-coding RNA, 4047 nt
Organism: Aedes albopictus (Asian tiger mosquito)
Lineage: Eukaryota; Metazoa; Arthropoda; Insecta; Diptera; Culicidae
Exons: 2
Source: RefSeq, a predicted model, not a curated record
AGAUAAAUAUUGAUGAACUUCGCUGUGUAUACGAAUUCUAAAUUUAGAAGUAUUUAGCAUUAAGACAGCUAAAAAACUAAUAAACUAUAUUUUUGUUCAUAAUUUCAACUACUUAAUCAUAGUUUUGUUCAUAAUUUAGAUUUAAUACAUUUUUCUCACAUAUUCGGUGACAAAAUUAAAAUUACAAAAAAAUGUUCACAUUGAAAUAAAAUGAACAUAUCUUACUGCGGUUGGCUUAACGAUGUUUGUUAAAUAUUAAUAUUUAGUUAUUUUCCUAAGAUAUCUACGCUCCAUAAGCUUUUAUUGUUAGAUAUUUGACUUGAGAAAAAUAUUGUAAAACAACAAUAGAGAACAGAUGCUGAAAACAGCUAAAAUGGAACCACCGAUAGUUGAUACAUUUAAUAAAUAAAUUUUCUUAGCUUAAUCUUUGAGAAAAAAAAUGAGAAAAUUACAACAAGUGUUUGAACGUGAGUAUUUCACAAUAUAAUACAAUAUAAUAUUCGGUUGAACGAUACGUGUUAAUAUUUCUAUUUUGUAUCUUCAAAGGAAAUCUGGAAUUAUCAGCAAAACAAAUGAACGACCCGUUUUACUGAAGAUUUGUACCAGUUGUAUUCUUCUGCAAAAAUAGAAAUACCUUUGGUUUGAGAUCCACAAGGUCAACGGCUGAGGAAUAGAAUAAAAAUCCCAUCGGGUAAGGCCAUGUUUUCCGCCUUCAUGCUACAAGAGCAAAACACAGCUUUCAGAUAGGAUAAUUAAGAACACAAAAUAAAUAAAUAAAAAAAAACAAUGGAUUGUUAGUGAAUAAAAUAUUGCUAUUUUCUGAGCAUAACGUAACUUUAUUGCGUUUCAAAUCCUUUGUUUCGAUGGUUAAACAAACAAAACAGUUUUAAUUUCCGUGGAUAGAAUGACAGUUCCAUCGAUAAAAUGACAGUUCAUCCCGAUUAAAAAAAUCUCCAUACAAACUUUAAAUGCAUUUUAAAAAUAGUUCCCGAGCACUAAAAAUGAUGAAAUUUUGGAUUUCGACUAAUUUUUGAACGGAGAUUCCGAUUAUUAAAUAAUUUGGAUGCCCCUAAAGAACCCAAUUAUGAAUAAAACUAAUAAUGGAAGCACAAUUUUUGUAUUAUUUUAAAAUCAUCAUUAUGAAUGUAAUAAAAAUAUUUUUCAACUAUUAAAAAAAAAAACAGUACUUUUAUUUUUGAUCGUAUGACAACCAUUGAAAUGAUUUUUUUUGCGAGCACUUUUAUCUUUCAAAAACAACAAUCCAAUAUAAAAUCUAUAAAUAUCCAUAUAAAUACAAGGUGUUAGGUUCAUGAGUGCAAACUGUUUAAAGGGUGAUAGAGGACCAUAAAUGGUCCUUCUAGCUCUUAUUUUAAAUGUGCGGCACAGUGCGCAAAAAGUGCUUACCAUGACAGUUGCAAAUUUAUGAUCUGAAAUGCGAUGUUUAAAUCGAAAUUGCAAGAAAACGAUAAUAUCCCAGACAGACAUGUGAUACGAGUGUGAUUCCUGUACAACGGUUUGCAGUGUCAAGAAAAUUCUAACGAGACUGAUUUGAACCGAGAGAAUUUCCAGUAUGGCACUCAUUUCAAGCGCAAUUGUACAGUGAUUCUUGUAUCACAUGUGUGUCAUAAGUAUAAGAUAGAAAUUUGAUGUCAAAUUGUAGAGUGGAACAUGGACCACAACUUUGCCAAACAAAGAAUUUUAAAUUAUUAUGCAUUUUUCAAAGAUAAUAGACAAAAACAAAUUAAAACACACUACUUUUGAGCUAUUUGCUCUAGGAAACUUAGUUAUUUAACUAAACCAUUUGAUUCAAAGAUGCCAUUUGAUAGAAAAUUCAAUAAUCUUUCAAAUAAGGGUAAAAAACUGCGAUAAGUUUGACAAUUUUCAAGUUAUAGCCAGUUAAGGCAAUAAGAGUCAAAAACAUGGGAAUUUCAAUUACUACGAAACGGUUGAGAUUUGACCAUAUGCGUAGAACAUUUUUUUCACUAUUUAUGGUCCUCUAUCACCCUUUAAAAAGUUUGCACUCAGGAACCUAACACCCUGUAUAACAACUGAAGUUUUUGACAGUUGAAUCUCCAGUUAGCCUAGUUGAUCACCAAACUGAUGGGGUUGGGUUCAAUCUCCGAUACAGUCGAAAGAUUUUAUCGACUUCCCUGGUAAAGUGUAUUCUUGUGCAAAGAAAGCUCUUCAAUUAAAAACUGCGAAAGUGCUAAAAAACAGUUGCUCAAAACAGUAAAAGAGUAGCAAGUCAAGUUCCAGUGAGAACGUAAAGUCACAAAUAAGAAGUUUUUGACAGUUCGUUUGGUUGCAUAAUUCUCCCAGCAAGUAUAUGUAUAAAGUGAUUUUUUGCAGAACUCUGGAUUUAACCAGAGAUUUUAUUCCUCUUCUAGGUUGAUGCAACUAGCGUGACUGGAAGGGAGAGUGACGUCAAUGUCAAAAUUGCAAUUAUCUAUGCAUACAAAUUCCCGUUCCAAACGAGCAGGAGACAUGUCAAAAUUGGAACAUCACGCCACUCUCCCUUCGAGUCACUCUAGAUACAACAAGGAAGCUUAAUUUUUUCCGGAGACAUUCGUAAGAUAUGGAAAACAAAUUUGUUCAAAUCUUCGUAAUUUUAAUUUCAAUUGUUGUUCUUCACGGCUCAUUAAAAAAACUGUCAAACUGAUACGUAAGGUGCCUUUUUAGUGUAUUCAAUUAUGUUUGACAAUUUAUUAAUACAGGUUGCAAGUACUGGUUCUCUGAAAGUCAUUUAGGUCUUUUAGUUACCAUUGUUAGUUAUUCUCUAGAGUAGUUCUCUGAAGGAACUCCCGAAACAGUCUAUUUGGAUAUGUCCGUAUAGGUAAAUUUCCGAUUCUUUGAAAAAAAAAACUUGGGAAGAAAUCUACGUAGGAAUCUCAGGCGUAAUUCCAAAAAACAAAAACCUAUGAAGAAAUGUAUGAAGACUUAUCUAAGGGAUUUCUAGAAGAAUGCUUUUUUUAGCAAUUUCUGGAUUAAGCCCGCUAGAAUUUUCUGAGAGAAUUUUCUAAGGAAUCUCUGGACAAAUUUCCAGACACAUUCUCCAAAAAAUUCUGAAAAAAAUAUUUUUAAAUAUUUUUAAUAUUUUUAAUAAUAAUAUACAAAGCAAUCUCUGUAGAAAAUCUCGAUAAAAUUCAGACAAUAAUCUCUAGACAUUGAAGACAUCUUUAAAUAUAAAUCUCUACAAGAAAACAAAGGGAUCUGUAGGAAAAUUCUUAAAAGACGAAUUUUCGAUAUAAUCUACAGGGCGCGUGCGAUAUUUUUGCACUAAAUCAUAUCGUAAUCAUAAAACACGUUUUAAAAAUAAUUCGACAAUAGAUCUAUACUUAAUGAUUUUUUUUCGCUAACAAUUGUGAUUAUUUCAAUGAUUUAGGAAGAAAAAAGUGGUCCUAAUAUCGAUAACAUUUUUUGAACGAUCCUCAGAACCGCUGCAAGUCCGUUUUGGUGUUGUUCUCUAUAUUUUGGUCAACAAUUGUGACCAAACACAUCGUUAUGUGUGCCGUUCAAAAAAUAUCCCAUAAAUUUGAAAAAGAGGUUUCUAGAAGACGAAAAUGCGAACAACUUGAGUAUAAAUAUAUGGAGCAGCUGCAUACUAUCUGCAUUUUCUCAGCUGUCAAGAACGCUAUGAAACUGAUUUUUUCAGUGUAGUUGGGGGAUUCCAUAGGCUUGUUACCUACAAAAAACUACAUAGCUGGAAUGGAAGAUAGCGGAGAAAUAACUGGAAGAAGUCGGAAAUAUCCUAAGUCGUACCAGCUCAAUUUGCUGUUUUAGACUCCCAUAAGCUAAGUACAGCACAAAUUUGAGCUGAAUUGAUAAGGUCUUAGGUAUCGCUCGACUAGUCUGAAGUUUAUAUGGUAAAACUGGUACAAAUAUGUGCAGGAAUGGCAUAGUUUUAGUUUUCUGCCACUAGAUGGCACUGGAAGCGUUCAAUAACCCUUAUUUUUAGUAUUAUUAUAGGGAAUUCUAUGCGGAACAUCUUUGUUGAAGACCGCUAAGUGAUCCGAUGCUUGCUAAAAAAAAAGUUGUACCCUAGACUUA